Small nuclear RNA from Erinaceus europaeus (western European hedgehog), 107 nucleotides. Lineage: Eukaryota; Metazoa; Chordata; Mammalia; Eulipotyphla; Erinaceidae. The record is from Ensembl.
GUGUUUGCUUUAACAGCACUUAUACUAAAAUUGGAAAGAUACAGAGAAUAUUAGCAUAGCCCAUGCACAAGGAUGUCAUGCAAAUUUGUGAAGUGCUCCAUAUUUUU